This 373-nucleotide ribosomal RNA is filed under the name uncultured organism. Its description in RNAcentral is "bacterial SSU rRNA". It matches the Rfam family "Bacterial small subunit ribosomal RNA", at positions 526 to 896 of the family's 1533-position model. The record is from RNAcentral.
CGUAGGAGGCAAGCGUUAUCCGGAUUCACUGGGCGUAAAGCGCGUGCAGGUGGCUCGGUAAGUUGGGCGUGAAAUCUCCCGGCUCAACUGGGAGAGGUCGUUCAAUACUACCGAGCUAGAGAGCAGAAGAGGAAGAUGGAAUUCCCGGUGUAGUGGUGAAAUGCGUAGAUAUCGGGAGGAACACCAGUGGCGAAGGCGAUCUUCUGGUCUGUUUCUGACACUCAGACGCGACAGCUAGGGUAGUAAACGGGAUUAGAGACCCCGGUAAUCCUAGCCGUAAACGAUGUGAACUUGGCGUUGGUGGGUUAAACUCCAUCAGUGCCGAAGCAAACGCGAUAAGUUCACCGCCUGGGGACUACGGCCGACAAGGUUA